AUUGAACGCUGGCGGCAGGCCUAACACAUGCAAGUCGAAUGGUAACAGGAAACAGCUUGCUGUUUCGCUGACGAGUGGCGGACGGGUGAGUAAUGUCUGGGAAACUGCCUGAUGGAGGGUGAUAACUACUGGAAACUUUACCUAAUACCGCAUAACGUCGCAAGACCAAAGAUGUGGACCUUCUUGCCUCUUGCCCUCAUCUUUUCCCAGUUGGGAUUAGAGAGUAGGUGGGGUAACGGCUCACCUAGGCGACUAUCCCUAGCUGGUCUGAGAGGAUGACCAGCCACACUGGAAAUGAGACACGGUCCAGACACCUACGGGAGGCAGCAGAGGGGAAUAGUGGACAAUGGGGGAAAGCCUGAUGCAGAAAUGCCGAGUGUAAGAAGAAGGCCUUAGGGUUGUAAAGUACUUUGAGAGGGGAGGAAGGGAGUAAAGUUAAUACCUAAGCACAUUGACGUUAACCGAAGAAGAAGCACCGGCUAACUCCGUG
This 490-nucleotide ribosomal RNA is filed under the name uncultured bacterium. RNAcentral's name for it is "partial 16S ribosomal RNA". It matches the Rfam family "Bacterial small subunit ribosomal RNA", at positions 30 to 507 of the family's 1533-position model. The record is from RNAcentral.